RNAcentral lists this ribosomal RNA (207 nucleotides) under Cupriavidus sp. Its description in RNAcentral is "partial 16S ribosomal RNA". It matches the Rfam family "Bacterial small subunit ribosomal RNA", at positions 651 to 858 of the family's 1533-position model. The record is from RNAcentral. Lineage: Bacteria; Pseudomonadati; Pseudomonadota; Betaproteobacteria; Burkholderiales; Burkholderiaceae.
UCAGAGGGGGGUAGAAUUCCACGUGUAGCAGUGAAAUGCGUAGAGAUGUGGAGGAAUACCGAUGGCGAAGGCAGCCCCCUGGGACGUCACUGACGCUCAUGCACGAAAGCGUGGGGAGCAAACAGGAUUAGAUACCCUGGUAGUCCACGCCCUAAACGAUGUCAACUAGUUGUUGGGGAUUCAUUUCUUCAGUAACGUAGCUAACGC